RNAcentral lists this long non-coding RNA (6226 nucleotides) under Nicotiana tabacum (common tobacco). Its description in RNAcentral is "long non-coding RNA (NTAB_LNC001626)". Lineage: Eukaryota; Viridiplantae; Streptophyta; Magnoliopsida; Solanales; Solanaceae. The record is from RNAcentral.
UAUUUCAGACUGAUCUGCGUUUCCAGAGUCAUGCUGUCCUGGCUCUGCAGGAGGCUGCUGAGGCCUACUUGGUGGGUCUAUUUGAGGACACUAACCUUUGUGCCAUUCACGCCAAGCGUGUGACAAUUAUGCCCAAGGACAUUCAACUUGCCAGACGAAUUAGGGGCGAGCGUGCUUAAUAUGAUCAACUCUAGCUAGUAGCAUUGUUUGUCCUUUCUUGCUCUUCUUUGUUAGACAUAAAGGCAGUAACUAAAUCUAGUAGUAGGGCUUGUUGCUUUGAAUUUGUUGGUGGCUGGUGGUGUGCUGUAAUUUGUUGGUGUUUUUUUGGAGAAGGGGAAAAACAUGAUAUUUUGUUUGGAUCUCUAAUGUUUUGUUGUCACACCACUGGUGUCGAACAAUGUUCAGUGUUUUCUUCUAAUGGUUAGUUCAAGUUGUUGUGGAUAAAUGAUUAUACUGUGCUCUUCGUAAACAUAGGAUGCAUUUGUACCAUUUAAAUGGAUGCUUGGAUUUGGGUAGUGAAAGCGUGGACUAGGUUUUCUGAUGCAUCUGUUGUAGUCACUAUUCUGAGAUUAUGAGAUACUUGCAUCUGAUCCACUUGUAGGAUUACACUACACAAGAUAUGUUAUUUUUAUUGUUGUUAUUUUUUAUUUUUAACAUUAGUAUGCCUUUAUAAUCAUAUAAUCGUUAUCAUAUAAUCAUGAUGGAUAAGGAGUUUGGGCUCAAGGAUGGCAUUGGUCCGUCUGAAGAUGCAAGAAUAGAGCCAACUAGGAAAAGCAAAAGAACUAAAAGACUACCACAAAGGCUUUCGGGCUUUAAAUGAGAUCCGGGUUAACGAAGUGAAAUGAGAAUAUUAGCGAGGGUACACGAAUGGUUAAAUGGCCAAAUAGUAGAACUAAUGUGGGAGGCUGAAUAUUGUUAAAAGCUUCCCCUCUCGUGUCUCGCUCUCCCACGCUAUUUCUCUCUGUGGCUAUGUCUUUUCAUCCCUUUCUUUUUUGUUACUAUCCUUAGUUAUUGUUACUUUUGAGUGUAAUUCCUUUGUUAUUGUAUCAAUAUAUUAAUGUCCCCAUCCCCUUUCUUUCUUUUUGUAAUCUUCACUUUCCUCUAUCCCCGUUCUCACUAUCUUAUCUUGUACUGAGUUCUGUAAUGUAUUAGUAAUCAAAUCACUUUUCUUAGACUAUUGUUGUUGGGGGUUCAUAACAUUGGUGCUUUCAUUAAGAGUAAUCCAUGGUAGAUUCCUCUGAGGCAUUAGUUAGUUUAGAUCGAUUCACUAGUGAGAAUCCAACGGGCUGGAUUUGUCAGGCGGAGUGGUACUUCAACUACCAUGGAUUACUCUCAAUGGUGAGAAUUGAUCUUUGAUUAAUUGAAACUCAAUACAUGGAAUUAGAGAAUAACAAGAUGGAAAUUAACAUAACUAAGAUAGGGACAGAAAAAAAGGGAUGGAAAGACAGAGCCACAGAAGAAAUAGUCGAGGGAGAGAGACCACAAAGAGAAAGUUUCUACAAAAAUUCAGCCUCCCACAUUAGUGCUACUACUUGGCCAUUUAACCAUUCGUGUGCCCUCGCUAAUAUUCUCAUUCCAAUGUACCCAAUUCAUUAACCCGGAUCCCAUAUAAAACCCGAAAGCCUUUGUGGUGAUCUUUUAGUUCUUUUGCUUUUCCUAGUUGGCCCAAUUCUUGCAUCUUCAGACGACCCAAUGCCAUCCUUGAGCCCAAACUCCUUAUCCUUCAUGACAUUAUCCCCAUCCUCAAUUAGAACCUUGUCCUCAAGGUUUGAGUAGAGCAACAAUGGUAACAUAAGGGAGAAGCUGUAAAGACUCAAUUGUGUGUCAAACAACCAAAUAUCCUCAGUUAACAAAUUAUCUUGAUAAAAGUUGUAGAUCUCUUCAAGCUCAAAUUUUCCUUUAAUAACAGAAUGCAUUACAUGAGCUACUUUGAUGCUUGAAUAUGUUUUUCUCCUAGUGCAAGCCAAACAAUUGAGCUAUCUAUUCCUUCUUUAGUGUGUUUAAAAAUCAUUCUUGGCAUCAAGAAUGCCAGAACCCUUGCCACUAAUUGUUGUUGCUCAUGGUUACUCUGCCUUCUACACCACACAAAUACUGAAGAGCGAGAACAUAGAAGGAAACACAAUUUAUGAAUGUGCGGUGAAAUUGAUUCCUCUAAAGAGUUUCUCAAGUUAUUUCUUUGGCUAAGAGAUUAAGCAACUCUUUCUCCAAUUGCAUAAUAUGAUAAUGGCAUGUAUCAUCUCGAUUAAGGUUCCACCAAAUAAGUUAUCAUCUGUAGAAUGUGGCACAACCCUCAAAGAAAUAAUCCAUAGCCGCGCUAAUUGAACUAGCAAAAUGCCACCUCUAGGAUUAAAAAACUAAGACAUUUUACGAAAUUGUUGUUCAAAUCCAUAAGUCAAGCAGAUAGAAGCACCACCACUUCUAAUUGCCUUCAGAAAUACACCACUAAUCCUUAAACUCUCAUUUGCAUUUGCAACUAAUACACUGUUCUUAUGUCUAGCUGAAACAUAAUACCUUGGCGCUAUGAGCCACAUAAUAAUAUUGCUCCACAUACAUUGCAGUUCAUCAGUCUUUCCAUGCCACUUAGAACCCACAUCUAAACUCUCUGGUGCAAGUCCAAAAGUAGCAAAUACACAUUUUAAAUGGAAUGUCGGAACACUAUAAUACCUUACUCCAAGCCUUUUGUUAAAACAAGUGGCUGUCAAAAGGACACUAACCUUUGUGCACAAAGAGAAGUUGCAGCAAUGUACCUCUCGAAACUUUCAUCAAACAGUUGGACAACGUUGCUCGCAAUAGCUAUAGCUUCUUCAUUCGGUAUUUUUAUUGGAGGUUUUGGAGCAUUGUCAUCACUAGUUAGCCUGGCCUCCAAAUCAGCAGUAGGUGAGCAGUCAAAUCCAUCAGAAGAAUUGAAGCUACUGCUCAGAGGAGCAAAGGCAGGCCGCUGGGCUUUAUGAGGGACCAAAAUUUCAAAAUGAGUCUGUGAGAGAUAGGCCAGACGCUCCACCGAAUCUGCGAAAGCCCGUUUCUGAAAGCGCAUAACCAAUUUCUCAGUAAAAUGUUUCCAAUCAAAGAACUGGUCAUUGCGGUAAAGCCAGUCGAACCAAGCGAGUGCAUCGCCGCCGAGGUAGAAUGAAGCGAGAGAUAGCCAAUAGUCCUUGGGGAUACGACAAAAGUUGAAGUACCACUCCGCCUGACAAAUCCAGCCCGCUAGAUUCCCACCGAUGAAUCGAUCUAAUCUGGCCACUACCUCGGAGGAAUCUACCAUGGAUUACUCUCAAUGAAAGCACCAAUGUUAUGAAUUUAACAAACAACACAAUUGCAAAUAGGAACUGAGAAUUGAUCUUUGAUUAAUUGAAACUCAAUACAUGGAAUUAGGGAAUAACAAGAUGGAAAUUAACAUAACUAAGAUAGGAACAGAAAGAAAGGGAUGAGAAGACAAAGUCACAGAAGAAAUAAUCGAGGAAGAGAGACCACAGAGAGAAAGUUUCUACAAAACUUCAGCCUCCCACAUUAAUGCUACUAUUUGGCCAUUUAACCAUUCGUGUGCCCUCGCUAAUAUUCUCAUUUCAAUGUACCCAAUUCAUUAAUCCGGAUCCCAUAUAAAGCCCAAAAGACUUUGUGGUGGUCUUUUAGUUCCUUUGCUUUUCCCAAUGCCUUGUUUGAGCCCAAACUCCUUAUCCAUUGUGACACGAUACCCCCACAACACGUUAUAUAUAUAAUCUUUAACCUCCACUCUUUUAGAACUUUUUUAUUUACAAAACAAAAAGAGCGAAGAAGAAUAAAAAAAGAAGAUUUCAUCAGAGGUUAGUCAGCUGUUUUCCUGCUUAUAUUUUUGAAUUUCUCUUGUAUAUAUGAUAUAUGAAGAAAUUGAUCGGUUAUAUUUUCGUUUUUUUCUGUGGAAAAUUUAGGGUUAGGGUUUCUGACUAUCUUCUAAGUUAGAAUUGUAGGUGUAGCUGCAUAAAGUUAGGGUUUUAACGGAAUGUUUGAUUUCUAUAAUAUUUAGGGAUUUAACUCUUCUACUUUGGUUCCUAUAAUAGUUUCCGAGUUUGCUGUUCUAUUUUAGGGAUUUUAAUUGCUCCUUUUUUUUGUUGUGAAAUAGAGACUGCUUGGGUUGGACUCAACCCUUCUUAUCCUGUUGCUAAUUUGAAUAUGUUUUUCUUUGAUUUUUUGAAUUUCCUAGAAUAUUAGGACUAGUCAGCUACUUUUGAUACUCAUGCUGUUUUAACGUAUUUGGAGCAAUCAAAGAAGAAUAGGAGGUUUAUCUUCAACUGCAAAGUUGAAAUCUUCUAUCGUUUUUUUAAUUCUUUAUUUUGUGAAAUCCUUGGUGUGUGUUUUCAUGUAUUAGUGCGAAAUAUAGUCUCUCAAGUUUUGUGCUAAUAAGAGAUGCUAGUGUGAAGCAGCACAUUAUUUUGGUGCUAAUUUCAACAUGGAAUUCUGUUGUUCUGAACAUAUUUGGAAAAAAUAAUUUCCAAAGUAAAAGAUCAUAUAACUCACUCCAUUUAGCUAUUGCUAUGUCAUUCUUUUUGGCAUAGUGAGUACAUUAAUAUUGCAUGAAGCAUUCUUAUGUUCUUCAAAUUUGCACAAUCUGGGUGUUGACUCUGUUUAUGAUACCACUCUUUUGUGUACAUAGGGAGUAUAUUGUAUGAAGCAAUCUUAUGUUCUUUGGAUUUGUACAAUUUUGGCGUUAGUGGUUAAUCAUCAAUCUCAAUUGCUAUGGAUUUUGUUCCCUUGAGAUAACACAUUAUUUCGGUGCUAAUUUCAACAUGGAUUUCCGUUGUCUUGACUGUAUUUGGAAAAAAAUCAUUUUCGAAGUAAAAAAUUAUGUAUCUCCCUCCAAAUAGCUAAUGCAAUGUCAUUCUUUUCCGGCACAGUGAGUAUAUUAAUAUUGCACGAAGCAAUCUUAUGUUCUUCAAAUUUGCACAAUCUGGGGGGUGACUCUGUUUAAUCGUCAACUUCCAAUGGUGCAAGUUGAAAGUCUUAAUCUUUCAUUUGGUUUUCACCUUCUUGUUUUUAGUGAAAAAUUGAAACCCUUCAUUCGUCUUGCUUCUUAAUCUUAUGAAUUUCUGGGUGAGUUUCUUCUAUAAUUGCAAACUUAAGUCUUUCUCAUGUCUUGAUUUAAAAAAAAACUGUUGGGUUGUUGUAUUCAGAUGGCUCGUACCAAGCAAACUGCUCGUAAGUCUACAGGAGGAAAGGCUCCAAGGAAGCAACUUGCUACUAAGGUCUAUUUCUGUUUAGUUUAUUCUUGGUCUUCACUAAAAUAUAUUUUGUAUGCAUUAGUUUUUAAUUUUGUAUCUUAUGUGUAUUAGGCUGCACGUAAGUCUGCUCCUACCACUGGUGGUGUGAAGAAGCCACAUAGAUACCGCCCUGGAACUGUUGCUCUUCGGUAAGUGCCUUUUUUUUUUUCUUUUUAAAAAACUUAUGGUUGUCUUUGGAGUUUAUCAAUUUAAUUGCAUGCUUAAUUAGUAUUCUAUGCAUGCAGUGAAAUCCGUAAGUACCAGAAGAGUACUGAGCUCUUGAUCAGGAAGCUUCCAUUCCAGAGGCUUGUUCGUGAAAUUGCCCAGGACUUUAAGGUAGAUGUUGUGGAUUAAUUUUUUGGUUUACUGGUUCUAAAUUUAAUACUGUUGUGGUAAGGAGGAUUUAGCCUAUGUUGUUUUCUGGUGAUUGAUCAUUCUUUGUGUAUUUCUUUGUUUUUUCAGACUGAUCUGCGUUUCCAGAGUCAUGCGGUGCUGGCUCUGCAGGAGGCUGCUGAGGCCUAUCUGGUGGGUCUCUUUGAGGACACUAACCUUUGUGCCAUUCAUGCCAAGCGUGUGACAAUUAUGCCCAAGGACAUUCAGCUUGCCAGGCGAAUCAGGGGCGAGCGUGCUUAAUUGAUCAACUCUAGCUAGUAGCGUUGUUGGUCCUUGUCUGGCUUUUCUUUGUAAGACAUAAAGACAGUAAUUAAAUCUAGUAGUAGGGCACUCGUAGUUGCUUUUGUUGGUGGCCGGAGGUGUGCUGUAAUUUGUUGAUGUUUAGUUUUGUAGGAGGGGUUAAGAGCACAAUAUUUUGUUUGGAUCUCUAAUGUCACACCACUGGUGUCGAACAAUGUUCAGUACUUUCAUCUAAUGGCUAGUUUCAAGUUGUUGCGGAUAAUUGAUUAUACUGUGCUCUUCGUAAACUUAGGAUGAAUUUGUACCAUUUAAAUGGAUGGCUUGGAUAUGGGUAGUGAAAGUGUGGACUGUUUUCUGAUGCA